RNAcentral lists this ribosomal RNA (253 nucleotides) under uncultured bacterium. RNAcentral describes it as "partial 16S ribosomal RNA". It matches the Rfam family "Bacterial small subunit ribosomal RNA", at positions 524 to 776 of the family's 1533-position model. The record is from RNAcentral.
UACAGAGGUCCCAAGCGUUGUUCGGAUUCACUGGGCGUAAAGGGUGCGUAGGUGGCGGGGUAAGUCGGAUGUGAAAUCUCCGAGCUCAACUCGGAAAUGGCAUUGGAACCUACCUUGCUCGAGGGUUGGAGGGGGGACUGGAAUGCUUGGUGUAGCAGUGAAAUGCGUAGAUAUCAAGCGGAACACCAGUGGCGAAGGCGAGUCCCUGGACAACUCCUGACACUGAGGCACGAAAGCUAGGGGAGCAAACAGG